CCCUCCCCCUUCCGAUCAUUUGUAUCACUGUACACACACACACCUCAUCUCUGUUUCUAGUUUUAAUAUCAAGCAAAAUGUCCCCGCCAUGCCCAAAUGAAUAGAUCACCCGCCGCACAUCUAUUUUCAUUAUUCUACUAUGUAAGAUACUCGUAAUAACACUCUUAUCACGUAGUAGGAUACAAUUGAAUGCAUGAAUAAUAUUAAGCAAAAUGCUCCGGCACCGUGAUUCACAUUUACAAAU
This 244-nucleotide long non-coding RNA is filed under the name Carica papaya (papaya). Its description in RNAcentral is "long non-coding RNA (CPAP_LNC013958)". The record is from RNAcentral. Lineage: Eukaryota; Viridiplantae; Streptophyta; Magnoliopsida; Brassicales; Caricaceae.